RNAcentral lists this long non-coding RNA (231 nucleotides) under Trifolium pratense (red clover). RNAcentral describes it as "long non-coding RNA (TPRA_LNC010515)". Lineage: Eukaryota; Viridiplantae; Streptophyta; Magnoliopsida; Fabales; Fabaceae. The record is from RNAcentral.
AAGAUUCGGAUACGUGGAUUAUGUUAUGAAGCUGACGUUAUGUUAACCUUAUAUUUGUAUAAGAUGCGGUUCAUUUAUGUUCAGUUGUUAGCUCGAUCAUGUAUUCAUUUGUUGGAUUUUGUAAUCCUAUUCACGUAUUUGGUCUUUGUGUAAAUGAAAUUAAUGUUUCUCGAUUCAGUUAUGUUCACUCUUGUCGCUAUUCUAGAUAAAUCGACAAAGGGUGUUAUAAUU